GACGUAGGAGGCGAGCGUUGUCCGGAUUCAUUGGGCGUAAAGAGCACGCAGGCGGUUUGGCAAGUCGGAUGUGAAAACCCGAAGCUCAACUUCGGGCCUGCAUCCGAAACUGCCCGACUAGAGGUAGGUAGGGGAAAUCGGAAUUCCUGGUGUAGCGGUGAAAUGCGCAGAGUAUCAGGAGGAACACCGGUGGCGAAGGCGGAUCUCUGGGCCUUACCUGACGCUCAGGUGCGAAAGCUAGGGGAGCGAACAGG
RNAcentral lists this ribosomal RNA (254 nucleotides) under uncultured bacterium. RNAcentral's name for it is "partial 16S ribosomal RNA". It matches the Rfam family "Bacterial small subunit ribosomal RNA", at positions 524 to 776 of the family's 1533-position model. The record is from RNAcentral.